CAGCCGCCGCGGGAAUACAGAGGGUGCGAGCGUUAAUCGGAUUUACUGGGCGUAAAGCGUGCGUAGGCGGCUUUUUAAGUCGGAUGUGAAAUCCCCGAGCUUAACUUGGGAAUUGCAUUCGAUACUGGUUAGCUAGAGUGUGGGAGAGGAUGGUAGAAUUCCAGGUGUAGCGGUGAAAUGCGUAGAGAUCUGGAGGAAUACCGAUGGCGAAGGCAGCCAUCUGGCCUAACACUGACGCUGAGGUACGAAAGCAUGGGGAGCAAACAGGAUUAGAUACCCCCGUAGUCCCUGUCUCUUAUAC
Molecule: ribosomal RNA, 301 nt
Filed under: uncultured bacterium
Lineage: Bacteria
Description: partial 16S ribosomal RNA
Rfam family: Bacterial small subunit ribosomal RNA
Source: RNAcentral